GGUUUUUAGAAAGUAUUAAAAAUUAGGCCUGCUCAGUGAAAUCUAAAUAGCCGCAGUAUUAUGACUGUGCAAAGGUAGCAUAAUAAUUUGUCUUUUAAUUUGGGACUGGAAUGAAAGGUUAGACCAAGUAAUUUUGUCUCGGGGUUAUACUUCGAAUUUUAUAUUUUAGUAAAAAAGCUAAAAUUUAUUUCAGGGACGAGAAGACCCUGUCAAACUUUACAAAUUAAUUUUUCUCUCUUAAGAUAAACUAAAUUUGUUUUACUGGGGCAGUAGGAAAGAAAAUUUUUCUCAUCUAUUUGUGAAUUUAUUUUUUGAAAAACCAGGAAUUUCCUAAAAGAAAAUAAGUUACUGCAGGGAUAACAGCGUAAUUCUUUUUCAGAGUUCUUAUCGAUAUAAGAGUUUGCGACCUCGAUGUUGGAUUAAAACACCUUUUUCGCGCAAUAGUGAAAUUAGGAAGUCUGUUCGACUUUUAAAAUUUUCCA
This 482-nucleotide ribosomal RNA is filed under the name Sahyadrimetrus kanarensis. RNAcentral describes it as "Heterometrus kanarensis partial large subunit ribosomal RNA". It matches the Rfam family "Bacterial large subunit ribosomal RNA", at positions 1832 to 2600 of the family's 2925-position model. Lineage: Eukaryota; Metazoa; Arthropoda; Arachnida; Scorpiones; Scorpionidae. The record is from RNAcentral.